GCAAUAAGGACUGUAGUGUGAAUAGCGUGCUGCGCUGCUCUCGCCAACUGAAAAGAACUCUGGUGUGCUGUAAAUGCCGACUGCGCAAUAUGUGACUGGCCCGCGGCUGCUUUGAAGUUUGUGCGCUGUGGAGCUUGAAGCACUUCUCGGAAUUUCAGCACACUCGCAUUUAUUUUUUUCCCGACAGAAGAAAAAUGCAAGUCUAACAUCUCGACGGUAAAACGUCGCAUCUGCGCACAGGGCCAAGAGCACGAGAAGUGGCCGAAAGAAGGGAGCCGAUCCAACAGGAAUGCCGUCCGUCUUUAUAUUUAUAUAUGUCAGCGUUAUCAUGCCGUGAUCACAUGGACUGUACGGUUGCGUUGCACAAGGGCUGAUGCAAACGCUCCGUGCGAACAAUGUUGCAUGGAAAAUUAGUGCAUCUAUACAAUUGCAAAAUAAAGAUCUAAAGAGAGAAAACUUAUAUUCACGUCUUUCUUUUAUUGUGUGUUACGUAUUAACACGUUAACAAGUGCAGACCGUUAGAGGCGUUUAAUUCCGUCUUACAUGUGCACUCUGCCCGUAAUUAAUUCAGAUAGAGUUAAACGCCUCUAUAAACUGCCCGUUCACAUUAAAUACGACACGC
Long non-coding RNA from Rhipicephalus sanguineus (brown dog tick), 622 nucleotides. RefSeq lists it as uncharacterized. The transcript has 4 exons. Lineage: Eukaryota; Metazoa; Arthropoda; Arachnida; Ixodida; Ixodidae. The record is from RefSeq and is a predicted model, not a curated record.